Molecule: ribosomal RNA, 367 nt
Filed under: uncultured bacterium
Lineage: Bacteria
Description: partial 16S ribosomal RNA
Rfam family: Bacterial small subunit ribosomal RNA
Source: RNAcentral
CCUACGGGCGGCAGCAGUAGGGAAUAUUGCGCAAUGGGCGAAAGCCUGACGCAGCAACGCCGCGUGCUCGAGACGCCCCUUGGGGUUUAAAGAUCGGUUAGUUGGGGCGAAACUUGACGGUACCCAUAGAGGAAGCACCGGCCAACACCGUGCCAGCAGCCGCGGUAAUACGGCGGGUGCAAGCGUUGUCCGGAAUCAUUGGGCGUAAAGAGUUCUUAGGCGGCACGUAAAGUCUGGUGUUAAAGGCCGAGGCUAAACUAUGGCACGGCACCGGAUACUGGCGAGCUAGAGUGCGGUAGAGGUAAGGGGAAUUCCUGGUGUAGCGGUGAAAUGCUUAGAGAUCAGGAGGAACACCGGUGGCGAAAGC